This 82-nucleotide non-coding RNA is filed under the name unclassified sequences. The record is from RNAcentral.
UAAUAUCUGCCGCCGGGCAGGUUUUUACAUCGGUUCCGUGUCGUUAGGCCUUAGAAGAUACGGGGUUGCCGGUGUAUUUUUU